Non-coding RNA from Cinara cedri, 234 nucleotides. The record is from the annotation of a GenBank genome assembly. Lineage: Eukaryota; Metazoa; Arthropoda; Insecta; Hemiptera; Aphididae.
CUCUAUUCGGUGUUAUUGAAAACUAUUUUAAAAAAAAUUUGAUUUUAUCUAAAAUUUUAUAUAUUGUCUUAAGGCAAUACGUGUUGAUCACUCUGUAUAGGUACACACACGUCAUUUUUAUUGUAUUAUAUUACUCGGUAAUACAGUAGUAUUGUUGAACAUCAUUUCGUUGCCUCGAGGGCGUCUAUCUCCGAAAAUCUAUGGGGGAGGGGGAGUGAUGAAUUACUCUUUUAG